Long non-coding RNA from Corythoichthys intestinalis (scribbled pipefish), 1466 nucleotides. RefSeq lists it as uncharacterized. The transcript has 4 exons. The record is from RefSeq and is a predicted model, not a curated record. Lineage: Eukaryota; Metazoa; Chordata; Actinopteri; Syngnathiformes; Syngnathidae.
UAUUACGUAGCGUUUGUUAGUCUUUUAUUAUUUUUCAGGGCUCCGGAGUGGCUAUGCUAAUGCAAGUCAAUGUGCCCAAUUAGCAUGCUAAUAAAAAGCGAUAUUCACAGAUCUAACACAGUCAAAUAAAUUGAAAACGCAGCUCAAUGUACAAAAAUCCCCUGCAGCCAAAAAAAAUGUCGCACCACACUGCCGUAAUUUAUUCAAUUCUGCGGGACUAUUGUUUCAUAUGCGUAAUGGAACUCCACUAGAGAGCAGUGCUACGGCCACUUGUCUUCACGUCAGUCUGCACGAAAGGACGUCAGCAUGGUGAAAUGUGCUUUUUAGAACUUGUGGAAACAUACAGAAGAAAUGGACAAAAGAAAGUGUCCACCGCUUCCCUGUGAAGAACGAGGAACUAUAUAAACUUUGGUUACUCUCUGCUGGAUAUGACAUUCACACACCGGUGGAAAAAGGACUAAAAUGGCGAAUUUGCAGCAAGCAUUUCGCAACAACCGACAUCAGGAAAACAUUUUGUGGCUAUUCUCUCCUGAAAUCAAAUGCUGUGCCUUCGACUGCCCAAACAGCUUCAAGAUCUUCGGAUAAAAAGGUAAGAUCUGCUGUACCACAGUCCACGCCAGUGAAGGAUACCACAUCAACAUCAGGCCAGCCGAGGACAAUUCAACAAUCAUCACGAGUGACCUGGAGGUAUAACACAGUGCGAUGCUGAAGUACACCCAAAAGAGGCUCCACUUUGUCUAUAACUCCAUGAAGGCAAGGACACUGAUGUCUGUUAUGGACCACAAUGAAAAUGUCGGGCACCAACAACAGAGGAACGCUGAUGGCACUUUGAAAUACAGCUCGGAGUUUCCAAAGCAAACAAAAAGAUGGGUUGCCCGGAGCUGUUACGAGCCAACAACGCAGACAUUCAGAGAGAAUUUGGUGGAAGCGUGUCCUGGAAAGACGGCAGGAUCCAUCAUUAAAGUUUGCUGAGCCAGACUUCUAUUUCAAGCCUCCAACUACUAUUCCACCGAACAUUGUAAACAUCGAAAGGACUGACGAAGAAAAAGUUUUUUUUACAACAUGUCAGUCGCUUUAAAAAAUAAGUAGGCAGACAUUUUCCUUUUUUUUUUAAUAGAUAUCUUAUAAUGUAGAUAUUUUUGAAUGAACGACAAUAAAAAAAACACAAAUAUUGUAUAAUUUGUGAAAUGUGAAGGUUUAAAAGAUAAAAAGUUUCUGGGUAUGGAGGAAAUGGUAUGAAAAGGUAUGUAGGUAAGUCGUACUUAGAAAAAUUGCAUAGCAUCUUCAGCUUCCCUAAAACCAUUGUAGUUCUCACUGACAGAAGGGUACUUCUCACGGAUGCAGGAGACGACACACGAUGGAAGAACACGUCGCUGGCCUCUUCCCAGAUGCUCGCCUUUCAACGCCCAAUCAAGAACAACCCUAUAUGCUACCAAUCAGAGUUGCCUAAAACAAAACCAUAAUAG